GAUGAACGCUAGCGGCAGGCUUAAUACAUGCAAGUCGAGGGGCAGCAUGACUGUAGCAAUACAGUUGAUGGCGACCGGCAAACGGGUGCGGAACACGUACAGAACCUUCCUUCGAGCGGGGAAUAGCCCAGAGAAAUUUGGAUUAAUACCCCAUAGUACAACGGAGUGGCAUCACUUUGUUGUUAAAGAUUUAUCACUUGAAGAUGGCUGUGCGGCUGAUUAGGUAGUUGGCGGGGUAACGGGCCCACCAAGCCUGCGAUCAGUAACUGGUGUGAGAGCACGACCAGUCACACGGGCACUGAGACACGGGCCCGACUCCUACGGGAGGCAGCAGUAAGGAAUAUUGGUCAAUGGACGAAAGUACUGAACCAGCCAUGCCGCGUGGAGGAUGAAGGUCCUCUGGAUUGUAAACUUCUUUUA
This 420-nucleotide ribosomal RNA is filed under the name uncultured bacterium. Its description in RNAcentral is "bacterial SSU rRNA". It matches the Rfam family "Bacterial small subunit ribosomal RNA", at positions 28 to 438 of the family's 1533-position model. The record is from RNAcentral.